UUGUUUCAGCAGCACAGAUUCUAAAAUUGGAUCAAUACAAAUCAGAUAAGCAUGUCUGCUGCCUAAGGAUGGCACACAAAUUCAUAAAGCAUUCCCUAUUUGG
Molecule: small nuclear RNA, 103 nt
Filed under: Cebus imitator (Panamanian white-faced capuchin)
Lineage: Eukaryota; Metazoa; Chordata; Mammalia; Primates; Cebidae
Source: RNAcentral